This is a small nucleolar RNA of Castor canadensis (American beaver), 132 nucleotides long. Lineage: Eukaryota; Metazoa; Chordata; Mammalia; Rodentia; Castoridae. The record is from Ensembl.
AGCCUCUUGGUGCUUAUCACAAGCUGUGUUCUUACACUGACUGUAUAGGAGGAGGAGGCAAAGUAAACCUACCCCAUGUACACCUCAGCCCAAGUCCUGUGCCUAGUCUGUACUGUGAAUGCAGAGACAUGG